Molecule: ribosomal RNA, 253 nt
Filed under: uncultured bacterium
Lineage: Bacteria
Description: partial 16S ribosomal RNA
Rfam family: Bacterial small subunit ribosomal RNA
Source: RNAcentral
UACAGAGGCCCCAAGCGUUACUGAGAAUCACUGGGCUUAAAGGGCGCGUAGGUGGUCCGUUAAGUUCGUUGUGAAAUCCCUGGGCUCAACCCAGGAAAUGCUUCGAAUACUGGCGGACUUGAGGCUAGUAGAGGUCACUGGAACUGACGGUGGAGCGGUGAAAUGCGUAGAUAUCGUCAGGAACGCCGAUGGUGAAGACAGGUGACUGGGCUAGUUCUGACACUGAGGCACGAAAGCGUGGGGAGCGAACGGG